GAUCAUGGCUCAGGAUGAACGCUGGCGGCGCGCCUAACACAUGCAAGUCGAACGAGACUGAUUAGAAUGAGGUUUCGGUUGAUUUCUAUGAAAGUCGAGUGGCGGACGGGUGAGUAACACGUGGGUAACCUGCCUUACAGAGGGGGAUAACAGUUUGAAAAGACUGCUAAUACCGCAUAAGCACACAGUACCGCAUGGUACGGGGUGAAAAGAUUUAUCGCUGUAAGAUGGACCCGCGU
RNAcentral lists this ribosomal RNA (239 nucleotides) under uncultured bacterium. Its description in RNAcentral is "partial 16S ribosomal RNA". It matches the Rfam family "Bacterial small subunit ribosomal RNA", at positions 15 to 236 of the family's 1533-position model. The record is from RNAcentral.